GGCCGUUGGUCGAGCGCUUGCCGCUGGGGGUGCGGUCCCGGUCCGCGCGACACCUGUCGCCUUCGGGUUCCGCGGCGGGUUCGGGUUCCGCGGCGGCUUC
This 100-nucleotide transfer RNA is filed under the name Streptomyces mirabilis. Its description in RNAcentral is "tRNA-Arg". Lineage: Bacteria; Bacillati; Actinomycetota; Actinomycetes; Kitasatosporales; Streptomycetaceae. The record is from RNAcentral.